Molecule: ribosomal RNA, 460 nt
Filed under: uncultured bacterium
Lineage: Bacteria
Description: partial 16S ribosomal RNA
Rfam family: Bacterial small subunit ribosomal RNA
Source: RNAcentral
CCUACGGGUGGCAGCAGUGAGGAAUAUUGGUCAAUGGACGCAAGUCUGAACCAGCCAUGCCGCGUGCAGGAAGACGGCUCUAUGAGUUGUAAACUGCUUUUGUACGAGGGUAAACGCAGAUACGCGUAUCUGUCUGAAAGUAUCGUACGAAUAAGGAUCGGCUAACUCCGUGCCAGCAGCCGCGGUAAUACGGAGGAUUCAAGCGUUAUCCGGAUUUAUUGGGUUUAAAGGGUGCGUAGGCGGUCGGAUAAGUUAGAGGUGAAAUCCCGAGGCUCAACUUCGGAAUUGCCUCGGAUACUGUUCGGCGAGAGAGUAGUUGCGGUAGGCGGAAUGUAUGGUGUAGCGGUGAAAUGCUUAGAGAUCAUACAGAACACCGAUUGCGAAGGCAGCUUACCAAGCUACUUCUGACGUUGAGGCACGAAAGCGUGGGGAGCAAACAGGAUUAGAUACCCGAGUAGUC